This 3934-nucleotide long non-coding RNA is filed under the name Nicotiana tabacum (common tobacco). RNAcentral describes it as "long non-coding RNA (NTAB_LNC002854)". Lineage: Eukaryota; Viridiplantae; Streptophyta; Magnoliopsida; Solanales; Solanaceae. The record is from RNAcentral.
AUGUAUAAUUGCAAGAAUUAAAAUGAGAUAUUAAAACUAUAAUGUUUAAUUGAUCUUCUCACACUUGUUCUUGCCUCCAAAGUAGUCUAAAAACAAGCUUAAUUAUGUCUUGGGCGAGCUUCUAAAGUUUAUAAGGGUUUGGAACAAUUUUUUCCCGAAUUACACUUUGGUCCCUAGUUUUCUGGCAAUUGAACAGUUCACCGCGGCCGCAGUAAGACCGCGUCGCGACCGCUGUGAACGCUAAACAUUCUGCCUUGUGUAAUUGUCUGUCGCGGUUCAACCGUGGUUCCACCACGGUCGCGGUGGAUUUCAUCUCAGUCCAUUUUUGCUUUUUUAUGCUCAAGGUACUUCUUGAUUGGGCGUUUUCUUCAUAUUAUUGACUCCAAAACACUCCGUAGUGCUUCCUCACUUAGAUUAUUCCCUGUGAAGCAAAAUGACAACAAUUAGAGCAUUUUGUAAUCAAUUCGCCUAUAAAACAAUAAUAAAGCAUGGUAAUAUUAAGGUGUAAAUAUCGUCUAUAUAGCCUAAUAUCAAAGGUGUUAGGCACCCCUCGAGGUCCACAACGGUGGGUCCCGACCGAACUUAAAUUAAGCGAAUUAGUCUAAAAAAGGAAAGAGGACAUUUUGGACAAAUACAAUAUCUAAUUUAUUUUAAACAGGGUAUAAGGGGUAGUCCUAAGUUUUAGCCUAUAGGAUCAUUCCAUGCAAUACUUUGUAACUCCCUCAAGGCAGGGUGUUACUCAUAGCAUUAGCGCACGAGCUAUCAUUUCCUUACUACCCAAUUACUAUCCUUGAGUUGUUACCUAAGCAUACUAAUAGUUUCUAGCUCGUUCCUUAUGCGUGCACUACCCCUCCCUUGGCUAUGGCCCUGGAGGUAAUAUGGCCUCUAUUUGGGAUAAUUCUAGACCAACCUACAUUGCUUAAAAUGUGAAAUCCAGAUGACAAACAAAAACAAGUAGGACUUUCAAAUAAAGAACAAGUAUGGGCUCAUAUUAACCUCCACACAUAAACAACAAAAGCACGCAAUUGAAUCAGCAAACUUUGUUAAUUUUGGAAUCCUAUAGGCAGAAUAUCUACGUGAGUAAAAUAGAGUGUAAAUACAAUUUUAGUAAGGCGAGCAUUAGGCCUAUUUGUUUACCUACUAAUUUUAUUCAACAUAGAUUUGGGCAUUUCAGGUAGUAGUAUGUGUCACAAUUAUAAGCCCAGGAUUAUUAAGUCCUACAAACACUUUGCCUAAGUGAUUGAUAAUAACGACUGAAUUCAGAACAAGAUCCUAUAUGCAUGAUUUCUAUGAGCUUCUUAAUUACAGACCUAUAAACAUGGUUUCUAAGCGGAGCACUGAUUUUAACUCAUACAGAUAGUUUUUAUUCCUUUUAGAUCUUAUAGGCAUGCUUUCUAAUUGCUGAAUUGAUUUAAACCCUUAUAGGCAUGCUUUCUAAUUGCCGACUUGAUUUAAACCCCUAUAGGCAUGAUUUCUAAGAUUCAGAGCUGAUUUUACCCUAUAUGCAUGAUAUCUAUUAAUCGUAUUUGGACAGAAAUUAACAGAUUGUCAUGAAAGAUAAUCAACAAAAGUCCUAUAGACAUGUUCACUAAUACACAUUAGGUUGAAAAUAUGUGUAAAUCCUAUGAACAUGAUUUCUAAUGCAGAAUCAAGAGAAAAGUCUUAAUGAGAAGGGUUUCUAGCAUGCAGGCACAGAAUCAGGAAAAUCCUAUAGGCAGGAUCUCUAAACACAGUCCAACAUUUACGUAAUUCAAUCAACAUAAUUAAACCUAUAGGCAGGAUUUCCACCCAGUUUUAACAAAGGUAUACCUCAAAUAUGUUAUUACAGAGAUUAUUACAACCCAGAAUGAAUGAAUUACGUAAUUGUAACGAUUACACUAUAGGGAGCCUUCAUAGGCCCAAUCUAAACCUGGGAACUAGGCCUUCAAACAACAGGUCUGGAGCAUAAUAGUGAUCCAUAUGGCACAUAAAAUUAGGUUUCCAAUGUGUCAAAGUUCCCAAGGGCCUCAGGGACCCCGGACAAUGCUCACACCAGAAUCACAUUCAGAAAAAAUAACUCAUAAAAAGAUUGGAAGACCAACCCCAAUGUGUCAGAGUUCGGAGGAGUCUCAAGGACCCUAGGAAGUGCUCACACUAGGGGUGGUGAGAACCUAAAUGACUAAGAGUAGGAGUUUAAAAACCAGUGCAUACAGGGUAAGAGGCAUGUUUUUAAAGUAGUUUAUUUUUCGGAGGCAAGCAAAUUCAGAAUAUAGAGUUACAGACAGAACUGCACCAAGAAAUAAACAGGUUUAUGUUCAGCAUAUAGUUCAAACAAAUUGGCAUUUGAUUAGGCUAAAUAUUAAAGUAAUCAUGACUUAAACACAGAGACAGAAAUAGACUGGACCCACAAAUAUAUUUGAUUACAUGCUUACAGUAUCUGGCAACGUUUAGAAAGAAAAACAGAUUGAACAUUAAAGCUAACUUAGGAAAAGGGGGUCACAUUAUUUGAAGUAACUUAAUUUAACAUUAUUACUAAAUAGGAUCAUGUAGUCACAUAGAAAGCAGAAUCAUGCUGAGGAUUGAAACGGACUAAUCGAAUAAAGUAUAGAGAACAUAAUAGUAAGAGUUAAGGCAUACCAGUUGAGAAGAAAGCAAGUAAGAAUGCAAUAGCAGUUAAAUUCCAGAGAGUUUAGCCUUGGCUUUCAGCCGGCCAAAUAAUAGCCACUUAUUGCAGAAAUCAGAAUAAGAGAAUAAAGAGAGAGCUUAAGUUUUUGUGAGAACAGAGAGUUAGAGAGUUGUAGAGUUGUUGAGUUCUUCUAAAAGGAGUGAGGAAGGGGAUUUAAAUAGCACCUAAUGAAGUAAAAAAAUAAGGUAAUGAACCAGUCCAACCCAAAUAAGGUAUGAAAAUAACUUAACAAUCAAUUAAGGUCCACAUGAAUCAAUUAACAAGGUAGAAUCGAGUAAAGUUAGGCUAGUAUCACUUAAUUUAAGGAAAACCUUAUAUGGAAUCAAUUAGUAGUCAAGUACUAGGUUAAAUGAGGAAAGAACUAAUUCUAAAAUCAAUUAAAAGUCGGGUUUAAUAAUCAAAACAAAAAAUCAGGCCAGUAAGGUUAAGUUAAUGGAAGUAGCACAAAUUAUUAAUUAGACAUUGGUCCAAAUACGGUAAGAACAGGAAACCGCAUAAGUAAACACCAGUACUAUACAGAAAAGGAAAACUGAUUUCAAAUCCUAAUUUAGUAAAUAAAAUCAAUUAGCAAUAAGUCGCCAGAGUCAAAGGCAAACCGGUAGAAACAGUAAGAAUGAAUAAAUAAUCGGAACCCUAAGAAAAAGGCAGAAAUACGAAGACAUAUAACAAGUAAAUCAGUAAAAUAAAUUAGAAAACCCUAACAGAUACACAGAGACGAAAAUGUUUAAAGGUUAAAAUAUUAUUUUUUUUGCAAAAAUCUGUUGAAAUCAAAACCCUAGUUUUAGGAUAAAUAAAAUCGGUCAUGAAAUAAUGAUAGAAAAAGAUUAGAGAAAUAUAGAGAAAAAGAGUAUUGAAAUUUUAAAGGAAAAAUACCAAAACGAACAUAAAAAUAUUUCAGAUUUGGGAAGAUCUAAAUAGGUUCAACCAAAAAUAGCCAGAUUCAUAAAAAUAAGCAUAAGUUGGACCAAAUCUGGUUUGAACCAGAGAUUUGAAAUCCUAAGAUAUGAAAAUAUUUGUACUCACAGGUAUUGGGAUUAACAUAGACGGAAUAAUCGAAAUUUGGGAGACUUUGAACCAAAUCUGGUUAAAGUCUCUUGAAAUACUCUUGCCUUUUGAGACAAAUGGGUCAAGUAGCAUCAAGAUCGAGUAGCCAGUAGAGAAGCAAGGCCAAAUAAGGCAGGGAAUCAAAGGAUGAUCCCAUGAAUCAAGAGGGAAAGUGUGAUGGCGGGCUAGGGUUUGAGAGGGUGAGAGAGGUGAGAAGAGUAUCAG